This 254-nucleotide ribosomal RNA is filed under the name uncultured bacterium. RNAcentral's name for it is "partial 16S ribosomal RNA". It matches the Rfam family "Bacterial small subunit ribosomal RNA", at positions 524 to 776 of the family's 1533-position model. The record is from RNAcentral.
UACGUAGGGUGCGAGCGUUGUCCGGAAUUAUUGGGCGUAAAGAGCUCGUAGGCGGUGUGUCACGUCGGCCGUGAAAACCUGCAGCUUAACUGUGGGCGUGCGGUCGAUACGGGCAUCACUGGAGUUCGGCAGGGGAGACUGGAAUUCCUGGUGUAGCGGUGAAAUGCGCAGAUAUCAGGAGGAACACCGGUGGCGAAGGCGGGUCUCUGGGCCGAUACUGACACUGAGAGACGAAAGCUAGGGGAGCAAAUGGG